Molecule: ribosomal RNA, 499 nt
Filed under: uncultured bacterium
Lineage: Bacteria
Description: partial 16S ribosomal RNA
Rfam family: Bacterial small subunit ribosomal RNA
Source: RNAcentral
UGGGGAAUAUUGCACAAUGGGCGCAAGCCUGAUGCAGCCAUGCCGCGUGUGUGAAGAAGGCCUUCGGGUUGUAAAGCACUUUCAGCGAGGAGGAAGGUGGUGAACUUAAUACGUUCAUCAAUUGACGUUACUCGCAGAAGAAGCACCGGCUAACUCCGUGCCAGCAGCCGCGGUAAUACGGAGGGUGCAAGCGUUAAUCGGAAUUACUGGGCGUAAAGCGCACGCAGGCGGUUUGUUAAGUCAGAUGUGAAAUCCCCGGGCUCAACCUGGGAACUGCAUUUGAAACUGGCAAGCUAGAGUCUCGUAGAGGGGGGUAGAAUUCCAGGUGUAGCGGUGAAAUGCGUAGAGAUCUGGAGGAAUACCGGUGGCGAAGGCGGCCCCCCUGGACGAAGACUGACGCUCAGGUGCGAAAAGCGUGGGGCAGCAAACAGGAUUAGAUACCCUGGUAGUCCAGCGCUGUAAAACGAUGUCGAUUUGGAGGUUGUGCCCCUUGAGGCGU